CAGUAAAUAGUUUAUUAAAAUAUUAAUUUUGGAGAUUAAAGAUAGGCUUGUGCUUUUUACUGA
RNAcentral lists this transfer RNA (63 nucleotides) under Geocoris pallidipennis. RNAcentral's name for it is "tRNA-Pro". The record is from RNAcentral. Lineage: Eukaryota; Metazoa; Arthropoda; Insecta; Hemiptera; Geocoridae.